UAGGGAAUCUUCGGCAAUGGACGGAAGUCUGACCGAGCAACGCCGCGUGAGUGAAGAAGGUUUUCGGAUCGUAAAACUCUGUUGCCAGGGAAGAAAGGUUAGGAGAGUAACUGCUCUUAACGUGACGGUACCUGAGAAGAAAGCCCCGGCUAACUACGUGCCAGCAGCCGCGGUAAUACGUAGGGGGCAAGCGUUGUCCGGAAUUAUUGGGCGUAAAGCGCGCGCAGGCGGUUAUGUAAGUCUGGUGUUUAAUUCCAGGGCUCAACCCUGGGACGCAUUGGAAACUGGAUAACUGGAGUGUAGGAGAGGGAAGUGGAAUUCCACGUGUAGCGGUGAAAUGCGUAGAGAUGUGGAGGAACACCAGUGGCGAAGGCGACUUUCUGGCCUAUAACUGACGCUGAGGCGCGAAAGCGUGGGGAGCAAACA
Molecule: ribosomal RNA, 426 nt
Filed under: uncultured Paenibacillus sp.
Lineage: Bacteria; Bacillati; Bacillota; Bacilli; Caryophanales; Paenibacillaceae
Description: bacterial SSU rRNA
Rfam family: Bacterial small subunit ribosomal RNA
Source: RNAcentral